CAGGAGCGCUGCAUUAACAUGCAGUCGACGGCAGCAUGAUCUAGCUUGCUAGAUUGAUGGCGAGUGGCGAACGGGUGAGUAAUACAUCGGAACGUGCCCUGUAGUGGGGGAUAACUAGUCGAAAGAUUAGCUAAUACCGCAUACGACCUGAGGGUGAAAGUGGGGGACCGCAAGGCCUCAUGCUAUAGGAGCGGCCGAUGUCUGAUUAGCUAGUUGGUGAGGUAAAGGCUCACCAAGGCGACGAUCAGUAGCUGGUCUGAGAGGACGAUCAGCCACACUGGGACUGAGACACGGCCCAGACUCCUACGGGAGGCAGCAGUGGGGAAUUUUGGACAAUGGGCGAAAGCCUGAUCCAGCAAUGCCGCGUGUGUGAAGAAGGCCUUCGGGUUGUAAAGCACUUUUGUCCGGAAAGAAAUGGCUCUGGUUAAUACCUGGGGUCGAUGACGGUACCGGAAGAAUAAGGACCGGCUAACUACGUGCCAGCAGCCGCGGUAAUACGUAGGGUCCAAGCGUUAAUCGGAAUUACUGGGCGUAAAGCGUGCGCAGGCGGUUGUGCAAGACCGAUGUGAAAUCCCCGAGCUUAACUUGGGAAUUGCAUUGGUGACUGCACGGCUAGAGUGUGUCAGAGGGGGGUAGAAUUCCACGUGUAGCAGUGAAAUGCGUAGAGAUGUGGAGGAAUACCGAUGGCGAAGGCAGCCCCCUGGGAUAACACUGACGCUCAUGCACGAAAGCGUGGGGAGCAAACAGGAUUAGAUACCCUGGUAGUCCACGCCCUAAACGAUGUCAACUAGUUGUUGGGGAUUCAUUUCCUUAGUAACGUAGCUAACGCGUGAAGUUGACCGCCUGGGGAGUACGGUCGCAAGAUAAACCGU
This 872-nucleotide ribosomal RNA is filed under the name Ralstonia sp. RNAcentral describes it as "bacterial SSU rRNA". It matches the Rfam family "Bacterial small subunit ribosomal RNA", at positions 37 to 903 of the family's 1533-position model. The record is from RNAcentral. Lineage: Bacteria; Pseudomonadati; Pseudomonadota; Betaproteobacteria; Burkholderiales; Burkholderiaceae.